GUUUGAUCCUGGCUCAGAACGAACGCUGGCGGCAGGCUUAACACAUGCAAGUCGAACGCCCCGCAAGGGGAGUGGCAGACGGGUGAGUAACACGUGGGAACGUCCCCCUCGGUUCGGAAUAACUCAGGGAAACUUGAGCUAAUACCGGAUACGUCCGAGAGGAGAAAGAUUUAUCGCCGAGGGAUCGGCCCGCGUCUGAUUAGCUAGUUGGUGAGGUAACGGCUCACCAAGGCGACGAUCAGUAGCUGGUCUGAGAGGAUGACCAGCCACACUGGGACUGAGACACGGCCCAGACUCCUACGGGAGGCAGCAGUGGGGAAUCUUGGACAAUGGGCGCAAGCCUGAUCCAGCCAUGCCGCGUGAGUGAUGAAGGCCUUAGGGUUGUAAAGCUCUUUCGACGGGGACGAUAAUGACGGUACCCGUAGAAGAAGCUCCGGCUAACUUCGUGCCAGCAGCCGCGGUUA
RNAcentral lists this ribosomal RNA (464 nucleotides) under uncultured bacterium. Its description in RNAcentral is "bacterial SSU rRNA". It matches the Rfam family "Bacterial small subunit ribosomal RNA", at positions 11 to 523 of the family's 1533-position model. The record is from RNAcentral.